AUUAGAUACCCUGGUAGUCCACGCUGUAAACGAUGAUUACUCGAUGUUGGCGAUAAACUGUCAGCAUCUGAACGAAAGUAUUAAGUAAUCCACCUGGGGAGUACGGUCGCAAGAUUGAAACUCAAAGGAAUUGACGGGGGCCCGCACAAGCGGAGGAGCAUGUGGUUUAAUUCGAUGAUACGCGAGGAGCCUUACCUAGACUUAAAUGUAGAAUGAUCUCCCGGGAAACCGGGCUUCUCUUACGAGCAAUCUACAAGGUGCUGCAUGGUUGUCGUCAGCUCGUGCCGUGAGGUGUCGGGUUAAGUCCCACAACGAGCGCAACCCCUAUCCUUAGUUGCCAUCAGGUAAUGCUGGGGACUCUGAGGAAACUGCCUACGCAAGUAGUGAGGAAGGUGGGGAUGACGUCAAAUCAGCACGGCCCUUACGUCUAGGGCUACACACGUGCUACAAUGGUCAAUACAGAGGGCCGCUACCUGGUGACAGGAUGCUAAUCUCGAAAAUUGAUCUCAGUUCGGAUCGAAGUCUGCAACUCGACUUCGUGAAGUUGGAUUCGCUAGUAAUCGCACAUCAGCCAUGGCGCGGUGAAUACGUUCCCGGGCCUUGUACACACCGCCCGUCAAGCCAUGGAAGUUGGGGGUACCUGAAGUCGAUAACCGUAAGGAGUCGCCUAAGGUAAAACUAAUGACUGGGGCUAAGUCGUAACAAGGUA
RNAcentral lists this ribosomal RNA (709 nucleotides) under uncultured bacterium. Its description in RNAcentral is "bacterial SSU rRNA". It matches the Rfam family "Bacterial small subunit ribosomal RNA", at positions 777 to 1498 of the family's 1533-position model. The record is from RNAcentral.